This 513-nucleotide long non-coding RNA is filed under the name Sus scrofa (pig). RNAcentral's name for it is "lncRNA (ENSSSCG00040030706.1)". The record is from RNAcentral. Lineage: Eukaryota; Metazoa; Chordata; Mammalia; Artiodactyla; Suidae.
AUGAGUGUUGGAAUUUGUGGGUACGGAGAGACAACAUUUGGACUCUCAGAAAAAAGCUGUAAACUGGGGAACAGGCUGAGGCCCUUUGUGAAGAGAUGGGUUAAAACCAGUGAAGCAGGAGCUAUUCCAGUGUCCAGUGUCCUCAGCUCAUUCUCCCGUGGUGAUGCUGCCAGAGAGCAGAGACCAGCCAUCAGAAGCACAUUAAUUCUGGUCUUUUCUUGUAUCUCUCAAAUAGUGCCCAAAAAAAAGAGACACUGUUUGCACCCCCGGGCUCACUGGUUCAGUCUUUCUCCUUCUUCCCCGGCUUCUCACCACUCCUCAUGCACUGUCAGUGGAAGCCCUGCCUCUACCUGCAAUAGGAAACUGAGCCGAGAGACGGUCCCCUUAUGGCCUCUAACCUGCGCAUCUCAGGCACGAGAUCCUCUCCCUUCAGCAUUCCUGCCUUCCUUAUUCCCUGUGUCCUGGGCCCUCUGCACACCUUAUCUCCAGCCCUGUUUGGCAUCGACAUUCUAA